CAUGCCCCUUAUACGCUGGGCUACACACGUGCUACAAUGGGUAGAACAGAGAGUUGCAAAGCCGUGAGGUGGAGCUAAUCUCAGAAAACUAUUCUUAGUUCGGAUUGUACUCUGCAACUCGAGUACAUGAAGUUGGAAUCGCUAGUAAUCGCGAAUCAGCAAUGUCGCGGUGAAUACGUUCUCGGGUCUUGUACACACCGCCCGUCACACCACGAGAGUUGGUUGCACCUGAAGUAGCAGGCCUAACCGUAAGGAGGGAUGCUCCGAGGGUGUGAUUAGCGAUUGGGGUGAAGUCGUAACAAGGUAUCCGUACGGGAACGUGCGGAUGGAUCACCUCCUUUCUAAGGAGAAUAAGUCUUUCUCUAUUCUAUUGGUAAUGUUCUUUACAUUACUUCUGAACAUUGGAAACUAUAUAGUAGAACAAACAAGAAAACAAAAUUAACUCUAACAAUUUCUUUAGAGUUAGCUGUCAAAAAAAUAGAUUAAAAUAAUUAAGGGCACACAAAGGAUGCCUAGGUAGUAAGAGCCGAUGAAGG
RNAcentral lists this small RNA (536 nucleotides) under uncultured Fusobacterium sp. RNAcentral describes it as "bacterial SSU rRNA". The stretch from base 1 to 341 matches the Rfam family "Bacterial small subunit ribosomal RNA", at positions 1194 to 1533 of the family's 1533-position model. Lineage: Bacteria; Fusobacteriati; Fusobacteriota; Fusobacteriia; Fusobacteriales; Fusobacteriaceae. The record is from RNAcentral.